RNAcentral lists this ribosomal RNA (460 nucleotides) under uncultured bacterium. RNAcentral's name for it is "partial 16S ribosomal RNA". It matches the Rfam family "Bacterial small subunit ribosomal RNA", at positions 338 to 795 of the family's 1533-position model. The record is from RNAcentral.
CCUACGGGUGGCAGCAGUGAGGAAUAUUGGUCAAUGGGCGGGAGCCUGAACCAGCCAAGCCGCGUGAGGGAAGAAGGCGCCAAGCGUCGUAAACUUCUUUUGUCGGGGAACAAAGGGCGCCACGUGUGGCGUUGUGAGUGUACCCGAAGAAAAAGCAUCGGCUAACUCCGUGCCAGCAGCCGCGGUAAUACGGAGGAUCCGAGCGUUAUCCGGAUUUAUUGGGUUUAAAGGGAGCGUAGGGGGAUUGUUAAGUCAGUUGUGAAAGUUUGCGGCUCAACCGUAAAAGUGCAGUUGAAACUGGCAGUCUGGAGUACAGUAGAGGUGGGCGGAAUUCGCGGUGUAGCGGUGAAAUGCUUAGAUAUCACGAAGAACUCCGAUUGCGAAGGCAGCUUACUGGACUGCAACUGACACUGAGGCACGAAAGUGUGGGUAUCGAACAGGAUUAGAUACCCGUGUAGUC